UACCAACCAGUCAUGUUUGGUUCUAUCCUA
This 30-nucleotide non-coding RNA is filed under the name Rattus norvegicus (Norway rat). The record is from RNAcentral. Lineage: Eukaryota; Metazoa; Chordata; Mammalia; Rodentia; Muridae.